GCAUCUUGCACUGAUGUGCUUGUCCACAAUAAUCUUCUGUCCCCAUGAUCUCUGAUGGGCACAGGCCUGCUGACCCAGCCAAAGCCAGUGACUCCUCAAGAAAGUUGAUCUGCAAGUAGAAUCUUGUAAUGAAUGGCCACCAUGGCACUCAUGCACACUGGAAUCAGCCUUGUCACUCUGUCAGAAAAUUAAAAUUCCAAGCUCUCCGUAUUGCCUGGUGGUUUCUUGUACAGUGGCCUUAUCAGAGACACCAGAGAAGCCUGAUGUCAUUCCUCUUUCUUUUUGUUUUGAAAUCUCCAAAGGAAGAAUGUUUCUUCACUUCUCAUUCAGGCUGGAAGAAACUUAAACAGAGCAAACACAGUCCUUCUCCUUGUGCAUCAUAUCCUCUGGGAUAAUUUUACUGCCUAGUCUGACAAGCAGAGGAACAGAUCUGCCUGUACAUCCCUCCACACACAGAUGAUGUUGAAGGAAUUGGAAGAACAGAUGAGUGGCAUUUGUGGUCAUCCUCGUGUGCUGCUCUCUAAAGCUCAGAGCAGGAGGAGGAAGAUGGGGAAAGCUUCAUUGACUGAAGUAUAAAUAAAGGUAUUUUGGGGACAAGAAACUACUUCUCU
Molecule: long non-coding RNA, 611 nt
Filed under: Cyanistes caeruleus (blue tit)
Lineage: Eukaryota; Metazoa; Chordata; Aves; Passeriformes; Paridae
Description: lncRNA (ENSCCEG00000022784.1)
Source: RNAcentral